GGCGAGUGAAGCGGCAAGAGCUCAAAUUUGAAAUCUGGCCCCUUUGGGGUCCGAGUUGUAAUUUGCAGAGGAUGCUUCGGGUGCGGUCCCCGUCUAAGUGCCCUGGAACGGGCCGUCAUAGAGGGUGAGAAUCCCGUCUGGGAUGGGCGGCCGCGCCCGUGUGAAGCUCCUUCGACGAGUCGAGUUGUUUGGGAAUGCAGCUCUAAGCGGGUGGUAAAUUUCAUCUAAAGCUAAAUACUGGCCGGAGACCGAUAGCGCACAAGUAGAGUGAUCGAAAGAUGAAAAGCACUUUGAAAAGAGAGUUAAACAGCACGUGAAAUUGUUGAAAGGGAAGCGUUGUCCACCAGACUCGCCCGGGGGGGUUCAGCCGGCACGUGUGCCGGUGUACUCCUCUCCGGGCGGGCCAGCAUCGGUUUGGGCGGCUGGUGAAAGGCCCCGGGAAUGUGCCACCCUUCGGGGUGCCUUAUAGCCCGGGGUGCCAUGCAGCCAGCCUGGACCGAGGCCC
This 505-nucleotide ribosomal RNA is filed under the name Penicillium sp. W19. Its description in RNAcentral is "eukaryotic LSU rRNA". It matches the Rfam family "Eukaryotic large subunit ribosomal RNA", at positions 88 to 597 of the family's 3401-position model. Lineage: Eukaryota; Fungi; Ascomycota; Eurotiomycetes; Eurotiales; Aspergillaceae. The record is from RNAcentral.